GCGCCUGCCAUGGAAAUUAAGAUGGUUUAGAAAAAGAUACACACAUUUAGUGCAAGAAAAACUUUUAACCAUACAAAUCAUGACACUGCCUGUUUGUUAAACUGAACCUGGAACUCGUUUAAAUCCACAAUGAAGUCUUAAACAGGACAUCAAAUAACUUGUUAAACUACAGAGCUCAACAAUAAGGAUGACCUGCUGCCAGAGUUUUAAUCAGUCAGAACUGAAAAUCCCAUUCCUCAAUAUUGCUAAUCCAUUUACUGUCUUGGUAACUCAAAUAUUUGGUUGUCUCUCAUGUAUUCUACAUUCUACAUUUGUCACCAUGACCAUGUUGUGAGUAGAUCUUGUUAUAUGUUAUAUGUUUGUGUUCCUGUAGCUCAACUGGUAGAGCAAGUGCCUUAUCAAGGUUGGGGGUUCGAUUCCCAGGGAACACAUGACAGCGUUCCUCUCUCCUCCAAGGCGAAUAAGAAGCCGCUGCUGUAUGUGAGUACACUGCCACAGAGAGUCAACACAUUCAGAUUGGGACUGGACAUCUUCACUAUCCUGUGUCAGAGUGUGAAAAUGAGGAAGAAGAGCGCCAGCAGAAUCCCAGAAGAGAGGAGCGUCCAGACUACAGCACGGAGAGCAGGAGACGGAGAUCGACUCGGUGCAUCCACACCCCGCUACACACAGACAAACAGCACAAUACAAUCAAUCUAUACACUACUCUAUGGUUUUUAAUGUUCUUUAACGUUUCUUACGCUUACCAAGGCUGCAUUUAUUUGAUAAAAAAAGCAUUAAAGACAGUAAUAUUGUUAUUUAAACACUGUUUUCUAUGUAAAUAUAUAUUUAAAUUGUAAGUAUUUCUGUGAUGCAAAGCCCAUUUUUCAGCAUCAUUACUCCAGUCUUCAGUGUCACAUGAUCCUUCAGAAAUCAGUCUGACAUGCUGAUUUGAUCCUCAAGAAACAUUUCUGAUUAUAAAUUUUAAAAACUGAUGUGCUGCUUAAUAUUUUUUUAUGGAAACUG
Carassius gibelio (silver crucian carp) is the source of this 1002-nucleotide long non-coding RNA. RefSeq lists it as uncharacterized. Lineage: Eukaryota; Metazoa; Chordata; Actinopteri; Cypriniformes; Cyprinidae. The record is from RefSeq and is a predicted model, not a curated record. The transcript is spliced from 3 exons.